CAGUCGCCGCGGUAAUACAGAGGAUGCAAGCGUUAUCCGGAAUGAUUGGGCGUAAAGCGUCUGUAGGUGGCUUUUCAAGUCAGUCGUCAAAUCCCUGGGCUCAACCCUGGACAAGCAGUGGAAACUACCAAGCUGGAGUAUAGUAGGGGCAGAGUGAAUUUCCGGUGGAGCGAUGAAAUGCGUUGAGAUCAGAAAGAACACCAACGGCGAAAGCACUCUGCUGGGCCGACACUGGCACUGAGAGACGAAAGCUAGGGGAGCAAAUGGGAUUAGAUACCCGGGUAGUCCCUGUCUCUUAUAA
This 301-nucleotide ribosomal RNA is filed under the name uncultured bacterium. Its description in RNAcentral is "partial 16S ribosomal RNA". It matches the Rfam family "Bacterial small subunit ribosomal RNA", at positions 509 to 809 of the family's 1533-position model. The record is from RNAcentral.